RNAcentral lists this long non-coding RNA (338 nucleotides) under Panax ginseng (ginseng). RNAcentral describes it as "long non-coding RNA (PGIN_LNC015600)". The record is from RNAcentral. Lineage: Eukaryota; Viridiplantae; Streptophyta; Magnoliopsida; Apiales; Araliaceae.
GUUGCUGAUUCAACUGCAACAACUCCAUGCAGAUUUAGGCGAACCUUCACCUUUAUUUUUGCCCGCUCACUCUUCAUUGAUUGAAAAGGACCAAUCUGUCCAUCAACAUAAGAAUAAUAAUUUAUAAUACUGAACCAAUCCAAUCAGUUGUAUACUUGUAUUGAACAUUAGAUUAUAAAUGAGGAGAAACAUCAACUGAAGUUGUCCUAUUAGGAAAUUUGAAUAGACGUGCAUACUGUAUAUGUGCUGAUCUUCGCUGGUGCCUGCAGUUCACUAACAUCAGCAUACUGAACAUCUAUUGUGAAUGUGCCAGGCCUGUAAAAUGUCAGAGCCUUCAC